ACACUCCUACGGGAGGCAGCAGUGGGGAAUAUUGCACAAUGGGCGCAAGCCUGAUGCAGCCAUGCCGCGUGUAUGAAGAAGGCCUUCGGGUUGUAAAGUACUUUCAGCGGGGAGGAAGGCGAUAAGGUUAAUAACCUUGUUGAUUGACGUUACCCGCAGAAGAAGCACCGGCUAACUCCGUGCCAGCAGCCGCGGUAAUACGGAGGGUGCAAGCGUUAAUCGGAAUUACUGGGCGUAAAGCGCACGCAGGCGGUCUGUCAAGUCGGAUGUGAAAUCCCCGGGCUCAACCUGGGAACUGCAUUCGAAACGGGCAGGCUAGAGUCUUGUAGAGUGGGGUAGAAUUCCAGGUGUAGCGGUGAAAUGCGUAGAGAUCUGGAGGAAUACCGGUGGCGAAGGCGGCCCCCUGGACAAAGACUGACGCUCAGGUGCGAAAGCGUGGGGAGCAAACAGGAUUAGAUACCCUAGUAGUCCCAUGA
RNAcentral lists this ribosomal RNA (476 nucleotides) under uncultured organism. Its description in RNAcentral is "partial 16S ribosomal RNA". It matches the Rfam family "Bacterial small subunit ribosomal RNA", at positions 333 to 800 of the family's 1533-position model. The record is from RNAcentral.